RNAcentral lists this transfer RNA (26 nucleotides) under Zabrus laevigatus. Its description in RNAcentral is "partial tRNA-Leu". Lineage: Eukaryota; Metazoa; Arthropoda; Insecta; Coleoptera; Carabidae. The record is from RNAcentral. RNAcentral also lists the same sequence under 1 other name.
UCUAAUGUGGCAGAUUAGUGCAAUGA